UACGUAGGGUGCAAGCGUUGUCCGGAAUUAUUGGGCGUAAAGAGCUCGUAGGCGGCUUGUCGCGUCGGCUGUGAAAACCUGGGGCUCAACCCCGGGCCUGCAGCCGAUACGGGCAAGCUAGAAUUCGGUAGGGGAGACUGGAAUUCCUGGUGUAGCGGUGAAAUGCGCAGAUAUCAGGAGGAACACCGGUGGCGAAGGCGCACAUCUGGCCCAAUACUGACGCUGAGGCGCGAAAGCUAGGGGAGCAAACGGG
RNAcentral lists this ribosomal RNA (253 nucleotides) under uncultured bacterium. RNAcentral describes it as "partial 16S ribosomal RNA". It matches the Rfam family "Bacterial small subunit ribosomal RNA", at positions 524 to 776 of the family's 1533-position model. The record is from RNAcentral.